Molecule: long non-coding RNA, 620 nt
Filed under: Brassica napus (rape)
Lineage: Eukaryota; Viridiplantae; Streptophyta; Magnoliopsida; Brassicales; Brassicaceae
Description: long non-coding RNA (BNAP_LNC021950)
Source: RNAcentral
AAAGUAGGAAAAAUCGUGCAAAGGAAAGGUGGGUGGAAGAUAGUGGGAAGUUGGUUGAUCCCAUCAACUUUCAAGUGGUCCCCGGCAAGGAUUGAUACACCUAUAGUAAAUCGAUCAUAACUUGUCCAAUACAGCUUCAAAUGACUUGAAACCACUUCCAUUGGAAAGCUAACUCAAUUUCCAGUGUCUCCACAAAUUUUGAGCUUCAGAAAAGAUCUUUAAGGCUUUCAUCCGUGUUCAUCUUUCACUCUCCGGAUUCGGGAGCGACCUCGCUGUGUCGCUGCGAGAGGUCGCUCCGGAUUCGUUGUCUCCGGGUGAUCAAUACGCGAGCGACUCUUCCCUGUCGCUCUAGUAAGGUCGCUCUGAUAGGGAGAUCAGAGCGACUUGACGGUGUCGCUCCCAGCUGGUCGCUCUGGUAAGGUGCUCGCCCAAUGAUCACUUUUAACAUUUCUUUUGGACUCCAAUCGCACUCAAAAUCCCACCAAUGGUCCUCUAAUUCAUCCAUGGUGCUCUCCAACACCUGAUAUGUACAAAUGCAAUGAUAUGCAACCUAAAUGUGCCUAAAUGAUGCUCUAAAUGACCAAACCAUGCAAGAAUAAGAAGUUAAAAACAUGUAAAUU